GACGAACGCUGGCGGCGUGCUUAACACAUGCAAGUCGAACGGAAAGGCCCUGCUUUUGUGGGGUGCUCGAGUGGCGAACGGGUGAGUAACACGUGAGUAACCUGCCCUUGACUUUGGGAUAACUUCAGGAAACUGGGGCUAAUACCGGAUAGGAGCUCCUGCUGCAUGGUGGGGGUUGGAAAGUUUCGGCGGUUGGGGAUGGACUCGCGGCUUAUCAGCUUGUUGGUGGGGUAGUGGCUUACCAAGGCUUUGACGGGUAGCCGGCCUGGGAGGGUGACCGGCCACCUUGGGACUGAGAUACGGCCCAGACUCCUACGGGGGGCAGCAGUGGGGAAUAUUGCACAAUGGGCGGAAGCCUGAUGCAGCAACGCCGCGUGCGGGAUGACGGCCUUCGGGUUGUAAACCGCUUUCGCCUGUGACGAAGCGUGAGUGACGGUAAUGGGUAAAGAAGCACCGGCUAACUACGUG
RNAcentral lists this ribosomal RNA (468 nucleotides) under uncultured bacterium. Its description in RNAcentral is "partial 16S ribosomal RNA". It matches the Rfam family "Bacterial small subunit ribosomal RNA", at positions 28 to 507 of the family's 1533-position model. The record is from RNAcentral.